RNAcentral lists this non-coding RNA (382 nucleotides) under Salmo salar (Atlantic salmon). Its description in RNAcentral is "Eukaryotic small subunit ribosomal RNA". It matches the Rfam family "Eukaryotic small subunit ribosomal RNA", at positions 633 to 980 of the family's 1831-position model. The record is from Rfam by way of RNAcentral. Lineage: Eukaryota; Metazoa; Chordata; Actinopteri; Salmoniformes; Salmonidae.
GUUUAAUCUGCUUCUUGACAUGCCACACCUGUCAGGUGUAUGGAUUAUCUUGGCAAAGGAGAAAGGAGAAACUCUCACUAACCGUAAACAAACUUCUGACCCAAAUUUGAGAGAAAUCAGCUUUUUGUGCAAUUUAUGGGAUCUUCUAUGAAAAUUCAUGAAAAUAGGUAAAAUUGGUAAAAAAAAGAGUGAUAGAACACAUGUAAAGACUUCAACAUAGGAAUGACCAAUAUCAAUAUUCAGACUAUGGUGUCACUGCAACCUCCCCAACUCUGAAAAACAAGAGUACAACUUCGUAUUGUGCCGCUAGAGGUGAAAUUCUUGGACCGGCGCAAGACGGACGAAAGCGAAAGCAUUUGCCAAGAAUGCUUUCAUUAAUCAA